GCGGGGGUGCCCGAGGGGACAAACCAGUGGGUCCAGAGGGGGCGGAGGCGCUAAGCUGCCCAGACUUAAGAUCCGCUGCCGCAGGGCUUCGUGGGUUCGAAUCCCAUCCCCCGCA
This 115-nucleotide transfer RNA is filed under the name Conexivisphaera calida. RNAcentral's name for it is "Conexivisphaera calidus tRNA-Leu". Lineage: Archaea; Thermoproteati; Nitrososphaerota; Conexivisphaeria; Conexivisphaerales; Conexivisphaeraceae. The record is from RNAcentral.